AGCCCCCAGCAAGAACACAAGUAUUGGGGGUAUUGCCUGCCCAGUGACAUUGUUAAACGGCCGCGGUAUCCUAACCGUGCAAAGGUAGCGUAAUCACUUGUCUUUUAAAUAAAGACUAGAAUGAAUGGCCAAACGAGGCUCUACCUGUCUCUUACAGAUAAUCAGUGAAAUUGAUCUUCCUGUGCAAAAGCAGGAAUAACACUAUAAGACGAGAAGACCCUGUGGAACUUCAAAUAUAAAAUCAACUGUCACCAACACCUACCAAACAGGCCUAUACCAAACAGUAUCUGAUUUUUAUUUUCGGUUGGGGCGACCUCGGAGUAAAACAAAACCUCCGAAAAAUAAAGAAAUUCUUUAAACCUAGAACAACAACUCAAAGUGCUUACAGCAAAACGAUCCAAUAUAUUUGAUCAACGAACCAAGCUACCCCAGGGAUAACAGCGCAAUCCCAUUCUAGAGUCCCUAUCGACAAUGGGGUUUACGACCUCGAUGUUGGAUCAGGACAUCCUGAUGGUGCAGCCGCUAUCAAGGGUUCGUUUGUUCAACGAUUAAUAGUACCU
Molecule: ribosomal RNA, 560 nt
Filed under: Astrochelys radiata
Lineage: Eukaryota; Metazoa; Chordata; Testudines; Testudinidae
Description: partial 16S small subunit ribosomal RNA
Rfam family: Bacterial large subunit ribosomal RNA
Source: RNAcentral